RNAcentral lists this ribosomal RNA (734 nucleotides) under uncultured bacterium. Its description in RNAcentral is "bacterial SSU rRNA". It matches the Rfam family "Bacterial small subunit ribosomal RNA", at positions 9 to 741 of the family's 1533-position model. The record is from RNAcentral.
GAGUUUGAUCCUGGCUCAGGACGAACGCUGGCGGCGUGCUUAACACAUGCAAGUCGAACGGAGCACCCCUGAAGGAGUUUUCGGACAACGGAUGGGAAUGCUUAGUGGCGGACUGGUGAGUAACGCGUGAGGAACCUGCCUUCCAGAGGGGGACAACAGUUGGAAACGACUGCUAAUACCGCAUGAUGCGUUGGAGCCGCAUGACUCCGACGUCAAAGAUUUAUCGCUGGAAGAUGGCCUCGCGUCUGAUUAGCUAGUUGGUGAGGUAACGGCCCACCAAGGCGACGAUCAGUAGCCGGACUGAGAGGUUGGCCGGCCACAUUGGGACUGAGAUACGGCCCAGACUCCUACGGGAGGCAGCAGUGGGGAAUAUUGGGCAAUGGACGCAAGUCUGACCCAGCAACGCCGCGUGAAGGAAGAAGGCUUUCGGGUUGUAAACUUCUUUUAAGGGGGAAGAGCAGAAGACGGUACCCCUUGAAUAAGCCACGGCUAACUACGUGCCAGCAGCCGCGGUAAUACGUAGGUGACAAGCGUUGUCCGGAUUUACUGGGUGUAAAGGGCGUGCAGCCGGAAAGACAAGUCAAAUGUGAAAUCCACGGGCUCAACCCGUGAACUGCAUUUGAAACUGUUUCCCUUGAGUGUCGGAGAGGUAAUCGGAAUUCCUUGUGUAGCGGUGAAAUGCGUAGAUAUAAGGAAGAACCCCAGUGGCGAAGGCGGAUUACUGGACGAUAACU